RNAcentral lists this ribosomal RNA (466 nucleotides) under uncultured bacterium. RNAcentral describes it as "partial 16S ribosomal RNA". It matches the Rfam family "Bacterial small subunit ribosomal RNA", at positions 28 to 507 of the family's 1533-position model. The record is from RNAcentral.
GAUGAACGCUGGCGGCGUGCUUAACACAUGCAAGUCGAACGAUGAAGCCCCGCUUGCUGGGUGGGUUAGUGGCGAACGGGUAAGUAACGCGUAAGUCACCUGUCACUUACUCUGGGCUACUCCUGGGCAACUUGGACUAGUAGCUGAUACGGGCGUUCACCGCUCGGUGGGUGUUUGGGUGUUGUAUCGGUUUUGGAUGGACUCGCGGCCUAUCAGCUUGUUGGUGAGUUGUUGGCUCGCCAAGGCGCUGCCGGGUAGCCGGCCAGAGAGGGUGAGCGGCCACACUGGGACUGAGACACGGCGCAGAAUCCGACGGGAGGCAGCAGUGGGGAAUAGUGCACAAUGGGCGCAAGCCUGAUGCAGCGACGCCGCGUGAGGGAUGACGGCCUUCGGGUAGUAAAGCUCGUUCAGUAGGGAAGAAGCGAAAGUGACGGUACCUGGAGAAGAAGCACCGGCUAACUACGUG